This 378-nucleotide ribosomal RNA is filed under the name uncultured bacterium. RNAcentral describes it as "bacterial SSU rRNA". It matches the Rfam family "Bacterial small subunit ribosomal RNA", at positions 28 to 404 of the family's 1533-position model. The record is from RNAcentral.
GACGAACGCUGGCGGCGUGCUUAACACAUGCAAGUCGAGCGGUAAGGCCCUUUCGGGGGUACACGAGCGGCGAACGGGUGAGUAACACGUGGGUGACCUGCCCUCAGCUCUGGGAUAAGCCUGGGAAACCGGGUCUAAUACUGGAUAUGACUCCAUGACGCAUGUUGUGGGGUGGAAAGCCUUGUGCGGCUGAGGAUGGGCCCGCGGCCUAUCAGCUUGGUUGGUGGGGUGANGGCCUACCAAGGCGACGACGGGUAGCCGGCCUGAGAGGGCGACCGGCCACACUGGGACUGAGACACGGCCCAGACUCCGUACGGGAGGCAGCAGGUGGGGAAUCUUGCGCAAUGGGCGAAAGCCUGACGCAGCGACGCCGCGUGA